CGCGCUCUUGCUGGGACUGACAGCUGGACGCCAUGGCCGCGGAUCGGCGCUCCAAGGCGGACACCCUGGCCCUGAGGCAGCGGCUCCUCAGCUCUUCCUGCAGACUCUUUUUCCCAGAAGAUCCUGUUAAGAUUGUCCGUGGCCAAGGGCAGUACCUGUACGACGAACACGGGGCAGAAUACAUCGACUGUGUCAACAACGUAGCCCACGUCGGGCACUGCCACCCUGUCGUGGUCCAAGCCGCACAUGAACAGAACCAGGUGCUCAACACCAACAGCCGAUACCUGCAUGACAACAUUGUGGAUUAUGCACAGAGGCUGUCGGAGACCCUGCCUGAGAAACUCUGUGUGUUUUAUUUCCUGAAUUCUGGGUCAGAAGCCAAUGACCUGGCCCUGCGGCUGGCCCGCCAAUACACAGGACACCAGGAUGUGGUAGUAUUAGACCAUGCUUAUCACGGUCACCUGAGCUCCCUGAUCGACAUCAGCCCCUACAAGUUCCGGGACCUGGAUGGACAGAAGGAGUGGGUCCAUGUGGCACCUCUCCCAGACAUCUACCGGGGCUGCUACCGAGAGGACCACCCCAACCCAGCUGAGGCCUAUGCCAACGAGGUGAAACGUGUGGUCAGCAGUGCACAGGAGAAGGGCAGAAAGAUUGCGGCCUUCUUCGCUGAGUCUCUGCCCAGUGUGGGCGGGCAGAUUGUUCCCCCUGUGGGCUACUUCGCCCGUGUAGCAGAGCACAUCCACAGGGCUGGAGGGGUCUUCGUCGCAGAUGAGAUCCAGGUUGGCUUUGGCAGAGUAGGCAAGUACUUCUGGGCCUUUCAGCUGCAGGGGGACGACUUCAUCCCUGACAUUGUCACCAUGGGCAAGUCCAUUGGCAAUGGCCACCCAGUUGCCUGUGUGGCCACCACCCAAGCUGUGUCAAGGGCAUUUGAAGCCACGGGAGUCGAAUACUUCAACACGUUUGGUGGCAGCCCGGUAUCCUGUGCUGUGGGGCUGGCAGUCCUGGAUGUCUUGGAAAAGCAGCAACUCCAGGCUCAUGCUGCUUGUGUGGGCAGUUUCCUGAUGGAACUCCUCAGACAGCAAAAAGCCAAACAUCCCAUCAUCGGGGAUGUCAGGGGCUCUGGGCUCUUCAUUGGUGUGGAUCUCAUCAGACAUAAAGCCAUGAGGACACCAGCAACUGAAGAGGCUGAAUACCUGGUAUCAAGGCUAAAGGAAAACUACAUUUUGCUGAGCACUGAUGGUCCUGGGAGGAACGUCCUGAAGUUUAAACCCCCAAUGUGCUUCAGCCUGGACAAUGCCCGAUAUGUGGUGGCAAAGUUGGAUGCCAUUCUAACAGGUGAGCUUGGAGCCCGAACAACUGAUCAGGUACCUAGAAUCCAACCUGGAGUCAAGCAUGAGAGCCUAACAGCUGAACCAGGAGACCCAUUGGACAGUACAUGCCCAAGCAAAGGGUCCCUUCUUGAAGUCUGGGUGAGUAGGAACCAAGCCCCAAUACUGCAUGCCUUGACAAGCACCAGUGAAAAGACCUGAGACCAGUCAUCAAAACAUCAAUCUGAUACGGUGGCACAUACCUAUGAUUCCAACAUCUGGGAGACUAAGUAAUACUGCAAGUUGGAGGCAGUCUGGGCUACCUAGAGACCUGAUCUCAAAGAAUACAGUGGGAACCCAAACCUGGUUUUUGUGCUUAAGAAUACUGGAGGCAGGUGCUUCAUUCCAUGCUUGAAGCACUCCAAGCUGCUAAGUGGCUAAAGUGAGAUUUGCACUGAAAACUGACUGCAAUGAAAUUCUCCCCAUAUUUCUAAAUCACUUAGGAAGGUCAAGAUAAGCCCAUUGUCUCCCCCCUAAAUCUUACAGGGAAAAUCAACCAAACUAGACAUGAGUGUGCACUGGGAUAACGUGCAAAACUCAGACCACAAAUAGGCAGAAAUCAUUGUCUCAUGGUAGAGGUCAGAGCAACCAGCAAGCAAACCUUCUUUGUUCCUCUUAAGUCACCUCAUUGAUGACCACAGAUGCACUUAAGCAUGGGGCUCUGGCAGAAGCGUGUAUUUGUGCAGAGCCUGGAGGAGUGAAGGCUGGCUUGCCACAGAACUGGUUUAGGGAUCCUAGACAUGGCUGUGCUUCCAGAAAAUUGCCAGACCAUCUGUGUGUGUAAAGGGACACUGAAGGCAGGUGGGGUAACUUUACGGUCUCUUUCAGAUAUGGAAGAAAAGGUGAGAAGUUGUGAGACGCUGAAGCUCUAGCCCUAUGUCACAACUGAGUCAAGCAUUCUCUCCAGAAAAUACUCAUCCCACUCAAUACUCUAUUGAGACCCUGACCACCACCUUACAGAUAAAGAAAAGUCUUUCAGGCUCAAGGUGGGCUUUGCCUGAGGCCGCACUGCCACCUACCAAGCAUUGGUCUACUGUUGAGAUAGGCGACCUGUCUGCAGCCCAGCAGGGUCAGAUUUCCUUUCUGCCCAAAAACUUGGGAGGUGGGGGUGGGGCAGCUAACAAGCACUUCUGCUUAAAUUAGUAUAAAAUGUCUUUAAGGAAAAUAGCAAAAAGUAACACUUUACACAUUGUGUCCUCAUACAAGUAUGCUCUUAACUGCUAUUCCUACCACAUGAUACAUACGCCUUACGUUUUCUACCCUACUGAAUUAAAAAUACUGAAUACAACUAACUGAAUACACUUAUUUCCAAGACCCACCAGCAGCAGUCCCACAAAAACACUGCCUUAGAGGUUCUUCCUGCUACUACAUGUCAGGGCACAGAGAAAAAAAGGCCUUUCAACGUCACUGUUUAUUGGAGUAACAAAAGCCCCCACCCAACUGCCUGUUUUACAGAACAUUUCAAGAGCCUAAACCCUAAUCCAAGCUUUCUCAACUGCCAACCAAAUGGGACAGAGGCUUCCUGAAGCCCUGCCCUACCUGUUCCAUCUUAUCUGGCCACCAUUGCAGCUCAGGCACUGAAUGUACCACACCCAGCCACCACAGGCCACACCUUCAACUCUGCUAACUGCCAACCUGAAAGUACUUUAGGCUCCACCAGAAUUCAGGGUAGGAGGUAUACCUCAUUGCAUGCCAACUCCACAUUUGAAGGCAAAACUGGUCCUGAACUUAAACUGGCCAUGACUUGGGAACAUCUUUGCCUGGCAUAGUGUUGAAUAAAGCAGUGGUGGAAA
Castor canadensis (American beaver) is the source of this 3160-nucleotide RNA transcript. It is a transcript of the gene named 5-phosphohydroxy-L-lysine phospho-lyase, with no coding region annotated. NCBI's taxonomy places the organism in Eukaryota, Metazoa, Chordata, Mammalia, Rodentia, Castoridae. The record is from RefSeq and is a predicted model, not a curated record.